GAUGAAGAACGCAGCGAAAUGCGAUAAGUAAUGUGAAUUGCAGAAUUCAGUGAAUCAUCGAAUCUUUGAACGCACAUUGCGCCCGCCAGUAUUCUGGCGGGCAUGCCUGUUCGAGCGUCAUUUCAACCAUCAAGCCCCCGGCUUGUGUUGGGGACCUGCGGCCGCCGCAGGCCCUGAAAACCAGUGGCGGGCUCGCUAGUCACUCCGAGCGUAGUAAUACAUCUCGCUCAGGGCGUGCUGCGGGUUCCGGCCGUUAAAAAGCCUUAUUUACCCAAGGUUGACCUCGGAUCAGGUAGGAAGACCCGCUGAACUUAAGCAUAUCAAUAAGCGGAGGA
This 335-nucleotide unclassified non-coding RNA is filed under the name soil metagenome. RNAcentral's name for it is "partial contains 5.8S ribosomal RNA, internal transcribed spacer 2, and large subunit ribosomal RNA". The stretch from base 1 to 120 matches the Rfam family "5.8S ribosomal RNA", at positions 35 to 154 of the family's 154-position model. The record is from RNAcentral.